Molecule: ribosomal RNA, 229 nt
Filed under: uncultured bacterium
Lineage: Bacteria
Description: partial 16S ribosomal RNA
Rfam family: Bacterial small subunit ribosomal RNA
Source: RNAcentral
UCAAAAACUUAGUCUCAGUUCGGAUUGUAGGCUGAAACUCGCCUACAUGAAGCUGGAGUUGCUAGUAAUCGCGAAUCAGCAUGUCGCGGUGAAUACGUUCCCGGGCCUUGUACACACCGCCCGUCACACCAUGAGAGUUGGCAAUACCCAACGUACGUGAUCUAACCCGCAAGGGAGGAAGCGUCCUAAGGUAGGGUCAGCGAUUGGGGUGAAGUCGUAACAAGGUAUC